GCGGGAGUAUCCAAGUGGUCAAAGGAGUAGGGUUCAGGUCCCUAUGUGCGAAGGCCUUCCUGGGUUCAAAUCCCAGCUCCCGCACCA
This 87-nucleotide transfer RNA is filed under the name Promethearchaeota archaeon. Its description in RNAcentral is "tRNA-Leu". It matches the Rfam family "tRNA". From Rfam's summary of the family: Transfer RNA (tRNA) molecules are approximately 80 nucleotides in length. RNAcentral also lists the same sequence under 1 other name. The record is from RNAcentral. Lineage: Archaea; Promethearchaeati; Promethearchaeota.